AUGCUUCUACCGUUCUUCAACGAUAUUGUAGGACUUAUCGGAGCGGUUGGAUUUUGGCCUCUGACAGUGUAUUUUCCGGUGGAAAUGUACAUUGUCCAAAUGAGAAUACCAAAAUGGAGCACAAAAUGGAUUUGUCUACACAUGCUUAGUGCGGCUUGUCUUGUGAUUUCUUUAGCUGCUGCAGCUGGUUCUGUUGCUGGUAUUGUUGCUGAUCUUGGACUUUUCAAGCCAUUCCAUGCUAUGUACUAG
Non-coding RNA from Vicia faba (fava bean), 249 nucleotides. The record is from the annotation of a GenBank genome assembly. NCBI's taxonomy places the organism in Eukaryota, Viridiplantae, Streptophyta, Magnoliopsida, Fabales, Fabaceae.